RNAcentral lists this ribosomal RNA (253 nucleotides) under uncultured bacterium. RNAcentral describes it as "partial 16S ribosomal RNA". It matches the Rfam family "Bacterial small subunit ribosomal RNA", at positions 524 to 776 of the family's 1533-position model. The record is from RNAcentral.
UACGAAGGUCCCAAGCGUUAUCCGGAUUUAUUGGGUUUAAAGGGUGCGUAGGCGGACUGUUAAGUCCGUGGUGAAAGCUCCAUGCCUAACAUGGAAAUUGCCAUUGAUACUGACGGUCUUGAGUACAUUUGAAGUGGGCGGAAUGUGUCAUGUAGCGGUGAAAUGCUUAGAUAUGACACAGAACACCGAUUGCGUAGGCAGCUCACUAAACUGUAACUGACGCUGAGGCACGAAAGCGUGGGGAGCAAACAGG